GGUAAAUAAACAGGGGAGCUGCCUGAGGGCUGGGAACAGGCUGAAAAUCCUCAGGGAGAGAUCUACUUCAUUGACCACAAAACACAACGAAUGUCCUGGCUCAACCCGCGUGUGGACGUUUGCCUCACCAGCCGCCCAAGCAGGGUUCCUGUUGCACAAGAGGUUGUCCUCUGAGACUGCCUGUGCGUGAGAAGAGUGUGGGCGCUUCUGCCUGCCUGGUCCCUGACCACUGUCCACACGCAUGCAUGUAUACACAAACUCUGUCCCCCUUACAUGUCACUUUGACAUGAACUCCCUAAGCUUUCUUAUCAAAUGUAAUGCACACUGACAGAUAUUAACUGGUGGACUGUGUGUUUGGGAGCGCUCUGUGU
Molecule: long non-coding RNA, 371 nt
Organism: Oncorhynchus gorbuscha (pink salmon)
Lineage: Eukaryota; Metazoa; Chordata; Actinopteri; Salmoniformes; Salmonidae
Exons: 3
Source: RefSeq, a predicted model, not a curated record